UACUCUUAAUCGUCGCCGUGUUGCUAAUAGGAAUCUAAGGGCCUGACUGGUUUAAACGCAGCGGGUGCGGUUGCGGUUGCGGGAGUUUGCGGAAACGGGCGGUUGCGGUUUCAAGCGUUAUCAAGUGUUUUGAACGACUGGUUGAGCGUUUGGUAAUAGGUGCGUUUGCGGGAGUUUUAUGACUGAUAAACCAGCGGGUGCGAUAGUAAUUAAAUAAAAAAUAACCAAAAUAAAUAUAAUAUAUUACUAUUAAAAGA
RNAcentral lists this small RNA (257 nucleotides) under Arabidopsis thaliana (thale cress). RNAcentral describes it as "ATSL115910". The record is from RNAcentral. Lineage: Eukaryota; Viridiplantae; Streptophyta; Magnoliopsida; Brassicales; Brassicaceae.